CCCUUAGAUGUCCUGGGCCGCACGCGCGCUACACUGAACGGAUCAGCGCGUUUUCCCUUCCCGAGAGGGACGGGUAACCUGCUGAACCCCGUUCGUGGUAGGGAUCGGGGCUUGCAAUUAUUCCCCGUGAACCAGGAAUGCCCAGUAAGUGCAAGUCAUAAGCUUGCGUUGAUUACGUCCCUGCCCUUUGUACACACCGCCCGUCGCUACUACCGAUUGAACGUUUUAGUGAGGUACUCGGGCUGAGCCUCAGAAGAUUCACGUCUUUUGUGCUGCUCGGGAAGAUUCCCAAACUUGAGCGUUUAGAGGAAGUAAAAGUCGUAACA
This 326-nucleotide ribosomal RNA is filed under the name uncultured eukaryote. RNAcentral's name for it is "partial 18S ribosomal RNA". It matches the Rfam family "Eukaryotic small subunit ribosomal RNA", at positions 1470 to 1796 of the family's 1831-position model. The record is from RNAcentral.